AGCGAACGCUGGCGGCAGGCCUAACACAUGCAAGUCGAACGAACCUUUCGGGGUUAGUGGCGGACGGGUGAGUAACACGUGGGAACGUGCCUUUAGGUUCGGAAUAACUCAGGGAAACUUGUGCUAAUACCGAAUGUGCCCUUCGGGGGAAAGAUUAAUCGCCUUUAGAGCGGCCCGCGUCUGAUUAGCUAGUUGGUUGAGGUAAUGGCUCACCAAGGCGACGAUCAGUAGCUGGUCUGAGAGGAUGAUCAGCCACAUUGGGACUGAGACACGGUCCAAACUCCUACGGGAGGCAGCAGUGGGGAAUCUUGCGCAAUGGGCGAAAGCCUGACGCAGCCAUGCCGCGUGAAUGAUGAAGGUCUUAGGAUUGUAAAAUUCUUUCACCGGGGACGAUAAUGACGGUACCCGGAGAAGAAGCCCCGGCUAACUUCGUG
Molecule: ribosomal RNA, 434 nt
Filed under: uncultured bacterium
Lineage: Bacteria
Description: partial 16S ribosomal RNA
Rfam family: Bacterial small subunit ribosomal RNA
Source: RNAcentral